Molecule: ribosomal RNA, 497 nt
Filed under: uncultured bacterium
Lineage: Bacteria
Description: partial 16S ribosomal RNA
Rfam family: Bacterial small subunit ribosomal RNA
Source: RNAcentral
GAUGAACGCUGGCGGCGUGCCUAAUACAUGCAAGUCGAGCGAACAGACGAGGAGCUUGCUCCUCUGACGUUAGCGGCGGACGGGUGAGUAACACGUGGAUAACCUACCUAUAAGACUGGGAUAACUUCGGGAAACCGGAGCUAAUACCAGAUAAUAUAUUGAACCGCAUGGUUCAAUAGUGAAAGACGGUUUUGCUGUCACUUAUAUAUGGAUCCGCGCCGCAUUAGCUAGUUGGUAAGGUAACGGCUUACCAAGGCAACGAUGCGUAGCCGACCUGAGAGGGUGAUCGGCCACACUGGAACUGAGACACGGUCCAGACUCCUACGGGAGGCAGCAGUAGGGAAUCUUCCGCAAUGGGCGAAAGCCUGACGGAGCAACGCCGCGUGAGUGAUGAAGGUCUUCGGAUCGUAAAACUCUGUUAUUAGGGAAGAACAAAUGUGUAAGUAACUAUGCACGUCUUGACGGUACCUAAUCAGAAAGCCACGGCUAACUACGUG